AUACGUAGGGGGCGAGCGUUGUCCGGAAUUACUGGGCGUAAAGCGCAUGUAGGCGGCCUGUUAAGUCAGGUGUGAAAGCUUGCGGCUCAACCGUAGGACUGCACAUGAAACUGGCGGGCUUGAGGGCAGGAGAGGAGAGCGGAAUUCCUAGUGUAGCGGUGAAAUGCGUAGAUAUUAGGAGGAACACCAGUGGCGAAGGCGGCUCUCUGGACUGAACCUGACGCUGAGGUGCGAAAGCUAGGGGAGCGAACGGGAUUAGAUACCCCGGUAGUCCUAGCCGUAAACGAUGGGCACUAGGUGUGGGAGGUAUCGACCCCUUCUGUGCCGGAGCAAACGCAAUAAGUGCCCCGCCUGGGGAGUACGGCCGCAAGGUUGAA
This 377-nucleotide ribosomal RNA is filed under the name uncultured bacterium. Its description in RNAcentral is "bacterial SSU rRNA". It matches the Rfam family "Bacterial small subunit ribosomal RNA", at positions 523 to 898 of the family's 1533-position model. The record is from RNAcentral.